AUUAGAACGCCUUGUUUGCCAGUCUAUUUGCCACUUUGUCCGUAGUUUUCCAUCUGUUAUGUGGCAUUAUAGCCAAUUCCCCGGCCAUUGAAAGUGACGUAUACCAUCCGAUUAUCGGGAAACCGACGACAGAGUCCUAACGAAAACGGACAUUUCUGGAGCGAGCAUGCCGGAUCCGUAGCCGUAACGUGGAGUAACUGAUACCAGGAGGGCUUUUAGCCAGCCCGAAGCCCGGUCAUCAAAUGCAAGGGGCAUUGAUGGACUGCAUUUGAUUAAAUUAGUGUGCAUUUGAGUUGGAAACGCUUCGGCCUUAAUGGCUGCCACAUCACUCAGCCGGAAUUUACUUGUGCUGCCUCCGAGAAUCUAACCAAAAAUAUUUUUCGCACACUCAACACCACGAUUUAUUCAGGGACGGUGUGUGCAUGUGGGAUGUGAAUAUAUGCCAGUGCGGACCGAGCGUGGAUGUGGAUGUCCAAAUGGAAAACCGGAUGGAUGGCGGAAAAAUACAUGCGGCUGAGUGAUUGCUGUAUAAAAUUAGGCAUGCUUUUCAAAAUGCAGCUUCGAUGUGCUUUUGUUUUGUGAGAGGUUUGGGUGGGCCGCGCCCCCGAAGCCCCGGUUGCAUUCGUUUUGGCACGUUUCAACAUAUUAUUGAGCGCAAUUUCUGUGGUGGCCAAUAAAUCAGUUGCAAAAGCGAACAACUCAAUCACUAACCGCAUGUGUACACGUUCCUGCGCACAGUGGGUCGAGCGAGUGAAUUAUGCACCGGCACUUCCCAGGCACCGGAUGUUGCAUUCCUUUCCCAUUGCUCCAGUGUAUCACCCUGGACAGCUCCUCGAUUCGCUUUCGCCCAUUUUGAUUAUGUUUAGUUUAAUGUUGUUGGCUGGCAAGUGACCCCGGCACAAGUCACUUAGAUGGUCAGGAGCACCGAAAGCUGGCAGAUGUUGGACCGAUGAUGCUG
Molecule: long non-coding RNA, 958 nt
Organism: Drosophila biarmipes
Lineage: Eukaryota; Metazoa; Arthropoda; Insecta; Diptera; Drosophilidae
Exons: 3
Source: RefSeq, a predicted model, not a curated record